RNAcentral lists this ribosomal RNA (248 nucleotides) under uncultured bacterium. RNAcentral describes it as "partial 16S ribosomal RNA". It matches the Rfam family "Bacterial small subunit ribosomal RNA", at positions 529 to 776 of the family's 1533-position model. The record is from RNAcentral.
AGGGGGCUAGCGUUGUUCGGAAUUACUGGGCGUAAAGCGCACGUAGGCGGCUUUGUAAGUUAGAGGGGAAAGCCCGGGGCUCAACUCCGGAAUUGCCUUUAAGACUGCAUCGCUAGAAUUGUGGAGAGGUAAGUGGAAUUCCGAGUGUAGAGGUGAAAUUCGUAGAUAUUCGGAAGAACACCAGUGGCGAAGGCGACUUACUGGACACAUAUUGACGCUGAGGUGCGAAAGCGUGGGGAGCAAUCAGG